Molecule: ribosomal RNA, 669 nt
Filed under: uncultured bacterium
Lineage: Bacteria
Description: bacterial SSU rRNA
Rfam family: Bacterial small subunit ribosomal RNA
Source: RNAcentral
AACGGGUGAGUAACACGUAGAUAAUCUAUCCUAUACUGGGGGAUAGCCCGAUGAAAGUUGGAUUAAUACCGCAUAUAGCUAUAUAGUUGCAUGAUUAUGUAGUGAAAGAUUUAUUGGUAUAGGAGGAGUCUGCGGCACAUUAGCUAGUAGGUGAGGUAAAGGCUUACCUAGGCGACGAUGUGUAGCCGGUCUGAGAGGAUGAACGGCCACAAUGGAACUGAGACACGGUCCAUACUCCUACGGGAGGCAGCAGUGGGGAAUAUUGCACAAUGGGGGAAACCCUGAUGCAGCAACGCCGCGUGAGUGAAGAAGGUUUUCGGAUUGUAAAGCUCUGUUAGCAGGGAAGAGGAAGGACGGUACCUGCAGAGGAAGCCACGGCUAACUACGUGCCAGCAGCCGCGGUAAUACGUAGGUGGCAAGCGUUGUUCGGAAUAACUGGGCGUAAAGGAUGCGUAGGCGGUUAAACAAGUUAUAUGUUAAAUAUAUAGGCUUAACCUGUAGAAAGCAUAUAAAACUGUUUAACUAGAGUGCAGGAGAGGUAAGUGGAAUUCCUAGUGUAGCGGUGAAAUGCGUAGAGAUUAGGAAGAACACCAGUGGCGAAGGCGACUUACUGGACUGUAACUGACGCUGAGGCAUGAGAGCAUGGCGAGCAAACAGGAUUGGAUACCC